GCUCGUGUGGCGGAAUCGGCAGACGCAGCGGACUUAAAAUCCGCCGGGCCUUAAAACCCGUGCCGGUUCAAGUCCGGCCACGAGCACCA
Molecule: transfer RNA, 89 nt
Filed under: Clostridiaceae bacterium
Lineage: Bacteria; Bacillati; Bacillota; Clostridia; Eubacteriales; Clostridiaceae
Description: tRNA-Leu
Rfam family: tRNA
About the family: Transfer RNA (tRNA) molecules are approximately 80 nucleotides in length.
Source: RNAcentral